This 77-nucleotide transfer RNA is filed under the name Flavobacteriales bacterium. RNAcentral describes it as "tRNA-Thr". It matches the Rfam family "tRNA". Rfam says of the family: Transfer RNA (tRNA) molecules are approximately 80 nucleotides in length. Their secondary structure includes four short double-helical elements and three loops (D, anti-codon, and T loops). The record is from RNAcentral. Lineage: Bacteria; Pseudomonadati; Bacteroidota; Flavobacteriia; Flavobacteriales.
GCCGAUGUAGCUCAGUUGGCCAGAGCAGCUCACUUGUAAUGAGCAUGUCGGGGGUUCGAAUCCCUCCAUCGGCUCCA